ACAGUGAGAAGGCGGCUGUCUCAGCUCAAGAAUACAGCCCUUAUCAGACACUGAGCCUGCUGGCGGCUUGAUCUUAGACUAUCCAGUCUCCAGAAGAAUACUCACUGUCCUCUUCUAUAAACGAGGAAAUUGAGGCUCAGAGAACUUAAGUAACUCGCUCAAGGAUACACAAAAGUCAGGAUUCAGGACCAAGGCAAGGACUGUUUGGCUCCAAACUGAAUUUGCUUCCAUCUGAAGUUUCCAGGAUUUCAGAUUCUGCAGACUCCUGCUCUGGGAACCCUGAUGUUAUAUGUUGCCCUGGACAGAGGCAAAAGAUGGAGCGGCAGCAGAGGAGAAAUGCUUUUCUUCAGGCCCCCAGAAAUAUCCCACACUGGGCACAACAUCUCGUGGCUAUAGGCACACAGCGGAAUAUUACUUAGCCAUAAAAAAGAGUGAAAUAAUGCCAUUUGCAGCAACAUGGAUGGACCUAGAGAUGAUCAUACUAAGUGAACCGUUUGCUGCCUUAUUUUCAGCCUUCACCACAGAAUUUGACUGGUGCAUUCAACGUUCAACUUCCUUUUUUUUGCAUUGACAUUGCUGUUCUUCACGCCCCUUUGGUUUGCAGCAUACACUUUUCACCCUGAUUUUGCUCAGUUUCCAUUGUAAAAGCUGCAUUUCCUCUCCAGUCUAUCAUCACCUCUGUAAACACCAAGUCUGGACGUGUGUCCAGAUGAGCCCCAGAGAUCUCCUCCAGGCCUCUGCACGCAGAGUGCUUGCGUGCUUAAUAUCCGCAAAGCCACCUUCGCUGCCUUGAGCGAGGAGACGCAGAGUCAGGCACGGCAGCAACGGAUGUUCAUCCUCCCAACACGGUAUCGGGCAACAUGUUUGGCCACUACAGUUGUCUCACAGCAGCUAAUUCAGAAGCCAGCUCUGGCUGCCGUGCAUCCUUAAUGGGAAAUGCCUCCAGUCCUACGCUUGCAAUCAGGUCAACCAAAGGUUCACUUCCCAGCACAUUUGGAAGAAUGGCCUUCUUUUUAAAAGUUGGAAAAACUGAGUCAGAGGUGAAGAUGAAGUUUACACAUCUGUCAGCAUCAUCAUGUCUCUUGUCUGUAAUGGUGAAUGGGAUAGACAAGAUUUCUAGAAACAUGUAUUUCAUAAAUGUGGACAAAUUAUUAAGGAAAAAUAUAUUAAUGUGAAAUAAUUUAACAGAUGAAUUACAUGUAAUUUGCAUUUUUUGCAAGUAAAUAAUAGUAAUAUCUAUUUGCUUAGCCUUAUACAGCUAAAAAAUGUUUCCCAUAUAUGAGCUUAGAAAAAGCUCUUAACGUGCAUGAAUAUGGGCAUUCCCUGUUCACAGAAUGAUAAAUAGAGUCAUAGAGCGUGUCUGGGCCAAAGUUCCCGGGCGAGUGGGUGCCAGAAUCAGGACUAAAACCCUGCCUUCUACCCAGAGACCAGCUCCUCUUUAUUCCCUCCUGCUGCUGUGAGGAGGAAGGGGAUACAGGAACUUCAUGUCGAGAGCCUGGAUUAAGUGACAUUUCACUUCAUGGAGAAGUCUUCCUAGAGGCAUUUGAGAAGUUCUAGGGAACCUUGUUAUUUUGAGACAAUAUGUUUUUUUCAAACCAAGGAACACCAUUUGAGGACGUUUAGUGAAUGAAGUUCUGGGGAAAGCCCAGUGGUAGCAGGAGUGGUGGUGGAGGACUUUCCCCACUUGUCAUCUUCCAUUUACAUUUAGAUAAGGCCUGGUGGAGAACUGUAUCGCCAGUUGCAGGGUAAGUUUGAGUUGGUGUGAUCUGAAACGCAGCCAGUUCCUCUCUUUCUAAAAGGCAGAGGCACGGUAUCUAAGACUGGUAUCUUGAAAUGUAUGUGAGAACCUUCUAGCCCUGAGAGUUCCCAUCAGGCUAGGAGGUCACAGCUCUUCUAACAUGAACCGCAGCUCCGCAAUCAGUAUAAAAGUCUACAAUUACGACCAUUCUUUGGAAUCCUCUCAGCCAACGAGGACAUUCCUUGGCUGGCUUAGAAAAACCAGUGCAGAUUUGCACUGGGAAAGGAAUGCAGUCUGGAAGAAUGGCCAAUGAUUUACAGAUUAAGUCUCCUAUUAACUAAGAAAGAAUAAGGAAAGGAGGUUUAAAAACCAUUCUGCCACCGCUGCAAAAAUGUUUACAGGAGACGCAGUGUGAGUGAGAAGGUGGGGAGGUGGCAGAAGCGCUGAAUGGGACACAGAAUUGAAUGGUGGAACCAGGAGUGACCUGGCAUCGUCAUCGGGAUCCCUUAGGUCUUCAUAGCAGUUGUGACUUUCCGAGAUGAUUCAGUACUUACUAUCUCAAUGGGUUAAAAAUUAUAAAAGACUCGGUGGGUUCAGGCAGAGAGGCACCAUUUCCAUCUUAGAUAAAGACACUGAGUUUCGGCGAGGUUAGGCGUUUUAUCCAGGCAAGUCCGAAGUGGAUGAGCAGCCUCCCGAUUUCGAGGCCUGAUUUCUGAUUGCCACUAGGCGCCUGCCUCACCACAGAAGGAGAAAGUCUUGACCCAUAACCUGGGGAAAUGGGAUUGCCCGAGUGAAGCGUGAGGAGGUGGAGUUUCUCUAACUGCUCCUCAGAGAAGGAUGCUGAGUGGGGAAGACAAUGGCUGGCAGGCCUGGUGCCAGGGCCUCUGGGAGGAAGGGGCUGGAGAGGUCCAGGAGAAACAUGGGCAGGAACUGGACUGAGACAGCGUUUGAAAGAUGAACGGGGAGAUGGAAGUUUGGAGAUGGAAAGGAAAAGGCAAGCUGCAGCAGCUGACAACGGAAAGGCAAUGGCCUGUGGAAAAUAACUCAGAGGCUUCCUGCUUCUGAAGCCAGUGCUAUGCUGUCAUAGCCCACUGCUCCUGGCAGGUAAGUCCAUUCUCUUGGGUAGGAACUGCUUUACAAUUUCAGCAGAGAUGCCUAACGACUCCAACACCCAUAACUGUUAAGCAGCAUGUUCGUCUCACACCAACAGGUGACAUGGAGAGAUGCCUUGUGCCAGGCGUGUCAGGGGCCAGGAGGGCCCAGAACUCCUGACUCGGGUGUCAGAGUAGGUGUCGAAGGCCUGCCCCGUGCUCACCUCCU
Molecule: long non-coding RNA, 3058 nt
Organism: Balaenoptera acutorostrata (minke whale)
Lineage: Eukaryota; Metazoa; Chordata; Mammalia; Artiodactyla; Balaenopteridae
Exons: 6
Source: RefSeq, a predicted model, not a curated record